This 359-nucleotide ribosomal RNA is filed under the name Fasciola gigantica. Its description in RNAcentral is "partial large subunit ribosomal RNA". The stretch from base 170 to 325 matches the Rfam family "Archaeal large subunit ribosomal RNA", at positions 1884 to 2089 of the family's 2987-position model. Lineage: Eukaryota; Metazoa; Platyhelminthes; Trematoda; Plagiorchiida; Fasciolidae. The record is from RNAcentral.
UCUUGUGUGUUUUUUAUUACAGGGAUUAGAGUUCUCUUUGUUUUAUGUGUGUGUUAUGAUUCAUCGUUUGUAGUUUUUAUGUGGUUUAUGUGGGUCUACUUUUGGUUAAUAUGGUUGGAUAAUGGUAGAAUAAGUAGGUGUUGUGAUUGGUCUUGUUUUUUCUUGGCUGUUCUCGGUCUGUUUAUUAAAAACAUUUCUAUUCGGAUUUAUGGAUAGUAGUGCCUGCCCAGUGCUUUGUAAAUGGCCGCAGUAUUUUGACUGUGCUAAGGUAGCAUAAUUAGUUGCCUCAUAAUUGGAGGAUUGUUUGAAAGGUUUGACUUGGGAAUUUGGCUAGAUUUGGGCUUGGGCUGAAAUUGGAG